This is a long non-coding RNA of Dermochelys coriacea (leatherback sea turtle), 496 nucleotides long. RefSeq lists it as uncharacterized. The record is from RefSeq and is a predicted model, not a curated record. The transcript has 3 exons. NCBI's taxonomy places the organism in Eukaryota, Metazoa, Chordata, Testudines, Dermochelyidae.
UAUGGGGAUAGAUAGAAAGAUAGAAAGAUAGAGCAGGUGGAUGGGGAUAGAUAAAUAGAUAGAUAGAUAGAUAGAUAGAUAGAUAGAUAGAUAGAAUGGGUGGAUGGGGAUAGAUAGGUAGAGGGGGUGUAAGUGGAUGGAUAGAUAGGGUGUAAGGGGCUAGAUAGCUAGAUGGAUAGCUAGACGGAUAGAGGCGGUGAAUGGAGAUAGACAGACAGAUAGAUGGAGUGGGUGGAUGAGGAUAGAUAGAUGGAGUGGGUGGAUGGGGAUAGAUAGAUGGAUAGCUAGACAGAUAGAAGUGGUAUAUGGGGAUAGAUAGAUAGAGGGGGUGUAUAGAGAUAGAUAGACAGAAAGAUAGACAGAUAAAGUGGGUGGAUGAGGAUAGCUAGCUAGCUAGAGGGGGUGUUUGGGGAUAGAUAGAACAGGUGUAUGGAGAUAGAUAGAUAGGUAGGGUGUAAGGGGAUAGAUAGAUUGACAGAUAGAGUGGGUGUAUGGG